This 481-nucleotide ribosomal RNA is filed under the name uncultured bacterium. RNAcentral's name for it is "SSU rRNA". It matches the Rfam family "Bacterial small subunit ribosomal RNA", at positions 26 to 518 of the family's 1533-position model. The record is from RNAcentral.
AGGAUUAACGCUGGCGGCGUGCAUGAAACAUGCAAGUCGAGCGCGGUGUGAUGCGGGGUAACCCAAUUCACAUCUAGCGGCGAACGGGUGAGUAACACGUGAGCAACCUACCUUUGAGUUGGGGAUAGCCCUGGGAAACCAGGAUUAAUACCCGAUGUGGUCACAACAGGACAUCCUGAUGUGAGUAAAGGCGUAAGCCGCUCAAUGACGGGCCCGCGGCCUAUCAGCUUGUUGGUGAGGUAACGGCCCACCAAGGCUUCGACGGGUAGCUGGUCUGAGAGGACGAUCAGCCGGAUUGGGACUGAGAUACGGCCCAGACUCCUACGGGGGGCAGCAAUUAGGAAUCUUGCACAAUGGGCGAAAGCCUGAUGCAGCGACGUCGCGUGAGGGAUGAAGUCUUUCGGGACGUUAAACCUCUUUUAUCGGGAAGAACAAUGACGGUACCGGUGAAUAGCCCGGCUAACUACGUGCCAGCAGCCGC